This 449-nucleotide ribosomal RNA is filed under the name uncultured bacterium. Its description in RNAcentral is "bacterial SSU rRNA". It matches the Rfam family "Bacterial small subunit ribosomal RNA", at positions 331 to 794 of the family's 1533-position model. The record is from RNAcentral.
CCAGACUCCUACGGGAGGCAGCAGUGGGGAAUAUUGGGCAAUGGGCGCAAGCCUGACCCAGCAACGCCGCGUGAAGGAAGAAGGCUUUCGGGUUGUAAACUUCUUUUAUGAGGGACGAAAGAAAUGACGGUACCCCAUGAAUAAGCCACGGCUAACUACGUGCCAGCAGCCGCGGUAAUACGUAGGUGGCAAGCGUUAUCCGGAUUUACUGGGUGUAAAGGGCGUGUAGGCGGGAGUGCAAGUCAGACGUGAAAUUCCAGGGCUCAACCCUGGAACUGCGUUUGAAACUGUUCUUCUUGAGUGAUGGAGAGGCAGGCGGAAUUCCGUGUGUAGCGGUGAAAUGCGUAGAUAUACGGAGGAACAUCAGUGGCGAAGGCGACUAUCUGGCACAUAACUGACGCUGAGGAGCGAAAGCGUGGGUAGCAAACAGGAUUAGAUACCCUAGUACA